GGUUAAGCGACUAAGCGUACACGGUGGAUGCCCUGGCAGUCAGAGGCGAUGAAGGACGUGCUAAUCUGCGAUAAGCGUCGGUAAGGUGAUAUGAACCGUUAUAACCGGCGAUUUCCGAAUGGGGAAACCCAGUGUGUUUCGACACACUAUCAUUAACUGAAUCCAUAGGUUAAUGAGGCGAACCGGGGGAACUGAAACAUCUAAGUACCCCGAGGAAAAGAAAUCAACCGAGAUUCCCCCAGUAGCGGCGAGCGAACGGGGAGCAGCCCAGAGCCUGAAUCAGUGUGUGUGUUAGUGGAAGCGUCUGGAAAGGCGCGCGAUACAGGGUGACAGCCCCGUACACAAAAAUGCACAUACUGUGAGCUCGAUGAGUAGGGCGGGACACGUGGUAUCCUGUCUGAAUAUGGGGGGACCAUCCUCCAAGGCUAAAUACUCCUGACUGACCGAUAGUGAACCAGUACCGUGAGGGAAAGGCGAAAAGAACCCCGGCGAGGGGAGUGAAAAAGAACCUGAAACCGUGUACGUACAAGCAGUGGGAGCCUCUUAAUGGGGUGACUGCGUACCUUUUGUAUAAUGGGUCAGCGACUUAUAUUCUGUAGCAAGGUUAACCGAAUAGGGGAGCCGAAGGGAAACCGAGUCUUAACUGGGCGUUAAGUUGCAGGGUAUAGACCCGAAACCCGGUGAUCUAGCCAUGGGCAGGUUGAAGGUUGGGUAACACUAACUGGAGGACCGAACCGACUAAUGUUGAAAAAUUAGCGGAUGACUUGUGGCUGGGGGUGAAAGGCCAAUCAAACCGGGAGAUAGCUGGUUCUCCCCGAAAGCUAUUUAGGUAGCGCCUCGUGAAUUCAUCUCCGGGGGUAGAGCACUGUUUCGGCAAGGGGGUCAUCCCGACUUACCAACCCGAUGCAAACUGCGAAUACCGGAGAAUGUUAUCACGGGAGACACACGGCGGGUGCUAACGUCCGUCGUGAAGAGGGAAACAACCCAGACCGCCAGCUAAGGUCCCAAAGUCAUGGUUAAGUGGGAAACGAUGUGGGAAGGCCCAGACAGCCAGGAUGUUGGCUUAGAAGCAGCCAUCAUUUAAAGAAAGCGUAAUAGCUCACUGGUCGAGUCGGCCUGCGCGGAAGAUGUAACGGGGCUAAACCAUGCACCGAAGCUGCGGCAGCGAC
Molecule: ribosomal RNA, 1169 nt
Filed under: Escherichia coli
Lineage: Bacteria; Pseudomonadati; Pseudomonadota; Gammaproteobacteria; Enterobacterales; Enterobacteriaceae
Description: partial 23S ribosomal RNA
Rfam family: Bacterial large subunit ribosomal RNA
Source: RNAcentral